Molecule: ribosomal RNA, 405 nt
Filed under: uncultured bacterium
Lineage: Bacteria
Description: partial 16S ribosomal RNA
Rfam family: Bacterial small subunit ribosomal RNA
Source: RNAcentral
AUUGAACGCUGGCGGCAGGCUUAACACAUGCAAGUCGAACGAGUGGCGGACGGGUGAGUAAUGCUUGGGCAUCUAGCUUAUGGAGGGGGAUAACUACGGGAAACCGUAGCUAAUACCGCGUACCAUAGGAUGAGCCCAAGUGGGAGUAGGUAGUUGGUGAGGUAAAGGCUCACUAAGCCGACUAUCUCUAGCUGGUCUGAGGGGAUGACCGGCCAACCUGGGACUGAGAAACGGCCCGAACUCCUACGGGAGGAAGCAGUGGGGAAUAUUGGGCAAUGGGGGCAACCUGACGCAGCCAUGCCGCGUGGGUGAAGCAGGCCUUCGGGUUGUAAAGUUCUUUCGGUAGCGAGGCGUUAACUACAGAGGAAGCACCGGCUAACUCCGUGCCAGCAGCCGCGGUAAUAC